CCUACGGGAGGCAGCAGUGGGGAAUUUUGCGCAAUGGGGGCAACCCUGACGCAGCAACGCCGCGUGAGUGAUGAAGGCCUUCGGGUCGUAAAGCUCUGUCAGAGGGGAAGAAAUGCAGGUGGUGAACAACCAUUCUGUUUGACGGUACCCUCAAAGGAAGCACCGGCUAACUCCGUGCCAGCAGCCGCGGUAAUACGGAGGGUGCGAGCGUUGUUCGGAAUUAUUGGGCGUAAAGCGCGUGUAGGCGGUUUGUUAAGUCUGAGGUAAAAGCCCCGGGCUCAACCGGGGAAGUGCAUUGGAUACGGGCAGACUUGAGUACGGGAGAGGAGAGUGGAAUUCCCAGUGUAGGAGUGAAAUCCGUAGAUAUUGGGAGGAACACCGGUGGCGAAGGCGGCUUCUGGGGCCGUUCCUGACGCUGAGGCGCGAAAGCCAGGGGAGCGAACGGGAUUAGAUACCC
RNAcentral lists this ribosomal RNA (457 nucleotides) under uncultured Geobacteraceae bacterium. RNAcentral's name for it is "partial 16S ribosomal RNA". It matches the Rfam family "Bacterial small subunit ribosomal RNA", at positions 338 to 787 of the family's 1533-position model. Lineage: Bacteria; Pseudomonadati; Thermodesulfobacteriota; Desulfuromonadia; Geobacterales; Geobacteraceae. The record is from RNAcentral.